This 236-nucleotide ribosomal RNA is filed under the name Chaca sp. RNAcentral describes it as "partial 16S ribosomal RNA". It matches the Rfam family "Bacterial large subunit ribosomal RNA", at positions 773 to 1063 of the family's 2925-position model. Lineage: Eukaryota; Metazoa; Chordata; Actinopteri; Siluriformes; Chacidae. The record is from RNAcentral.
GGCUAACCCGUCUCUGUGGCAAAAGAGUGGGGAGAUCUCCAGGUAGGGGUGACAGACCUACCGAGCUUAGUGAUAGCUGGUUGCCUAAGAAAUGAAUAAAAGUCCAGCCUCAUACUCCUUACUUCACAAACAAAGACCAAAAGAAACAUAUGAGAGUUAAUCAAAGGGGGUACAGCCCCUUUGAUACAGGAAACAACCUCACACAGGAGGUUAAAGAUUAUAACAAACAAGACAAG